GUCUACGGUCAUACUACCCUGAAUGUGCCAGAUCUCAUCUGAUCUCAGAAGCUAAGCAAGGUUGGGCCUGGUUAGUACUUGGAUGGGAGAGUUUUGAGAUUUAGCUAAAUGGUUUAUA
This 118-nucleotide ribosomal RNA is filed under the name Chinchilla lanigera (long-tailed chinchilla). Lineage: Eukaryota; Metazoa; Chordata; Mammalia; Rodentia; Chinchillidae. The record is from RNAcentral.